RNAcentral lists this ribosomal RNA (472 nucleotides) under uncultured bacterium. Its description in RNAcentral is "bacterial SSU rRNA". It matches the Rfam family "Bacterial small subunit ribosomal RNA", at positions 355 to 825 of the family's 1533-position model. The record is from RNAcentral.
UGGGGAAUAUUGGACAAUGGGGGAAACCCUGAUCCAGCCAUGCCGCGUGUGUGAAGAAGGACCUCGGGUUGUAAAGCACUUUCAGCGAGGAAGAACGCCUAACGGUUAAUACCCGCUAGGAAAGACAUCACUCGCAGAAGAAGCACCGGCUAACUCCGUGCCAGCAGCCGCGGUAAUACGGAGGGUGCAAGCGUUAAUCGGAAUUACUGGGCGUAAAGCGCGCGUAGGUGGCUUGAUAAGCCGGUUGUGAAAGCCCCGGGCUCAACCUGGGAACGGCAUCCGGAACUGUCAAGCUAGAGUGCAGGAGAGGAAGGUAGAAUUCCCGGUGUAGCGGUGAAAUGCGUAGAGAUCGGGAGGAAUACCAGUGGCGAAGGCGGCCUUCUGGACUGACACUGACACUGAGGUGCGAAAGUGUGGGUAGCAAACAGGAUUAGAUACCCCAGUAGUCCCUGAGCGGGCUGGCAAGGCGCAU